Cyprinus carpio carpio is the source of this 2797-nucleotide long non-coding RNA. NCBI's taxonomy places the organism in Eukaryota, Metazoa, Chordata, Actinopteri, Cypriniformes, Cyprinidae. The record is from Ensembl.
CAUAAUAAUUAAAAACGUACACUUUUUCCCCCUACUGCAAUUCUACAGUCCAUCAGAGGGGGCGCCUAAAUUCAUCUUGUCUAUGGCACAGAACAUGAAUAGCACAUGAGGAAGAACACAGCGGUGAUUUUAACAUUUAUUGGUGGCAGGGGGCGAAUAUAGUUUUUCAGACAACAACAACAUUUUGUCCUGUAGGCAGUGGUUGUGACAACUGUCUCUAAGUAAACGUCUAAGUACUGUCAGAAGUAUGCAAGGAACGUCUUGACAGGACAUUUUAGUUUCACUUUUUUAGCAUGAGAUAUGCUGCUGCUCGGUUCAGGUAGACUUUUAAUAUUAACACGUUUUUAAACACAAUCGAACGAAUAUAAUAAUAUAAGAUGAGGUGUACAACAUGAGAGCGCCGCGUUCACAUUGCACUGUGGCGAGAGCGAAUUAAUUUCGAAUUCUCAUAAUAACAACACAACCGCGUCACGUGACGCGUGCACGCUCUCCCGAGUGCUUUCACGCGGUUCAUUUGGCAUAUGUGAACAAGGCAAUCCCGCGCCAAAAAAAAAAAAAAAACCGAUCCUUAACAAGACCAAAAUUCAACAUUGUAAUAAUUUGAAUCCCUGUUUGGGAACAAAGCUACCGAUCUACAGGUGUGAAACCAACCUCAGAUGAAGACAGAUUAAUUUAUGAACUCUAUAUGGACUCGUGCAGGGUAAGAGCAAAAUCAAAUGCUUAUAAACUAUAAGUCUAACAACUGGUGUCCUUAAAAAAGAUAGAUGGUUCAGUAGGCAUUAUCAUGGAAUUACUGUACACUUCUAAGGACAUUUUUACAUUCUUAGGUAACUAAAUAGAGCACACUAGACCUCUUGCAGACUAGUCUGGCUACUUAUGUAUAUGGAAGACUGGGUCAUUUUUGAAAGUUCCUUUUGGCUGUCAGGAGCAAUGUAGUUUGAUGGCCGAGGGAAAGUUAUGGAGGACCCGUGGAGUUGGAGGAUGCACAGACAGUGUCAGCUUCACUAUGGAGCCAAAGGAUGGCAUCUGAAAUGGCAUGCCAUAAAAAGUGCCUCGGGCCCUUUUGGCGUCGAAGGCUGUCAUAAAUGAAGUCGGCGCUCUCUGAGGAAGAGUCAGGAAUGAUGCUUAAGAAACACGUUUGUAUUGAGUUUCCACUGUAUUUUCAUUAAUGCUAAAGACUUGUUAAAUUUACAACUUUUAAAAAACAAUUAUCAUUAUGAAGUAUAUGUAUUAAACAUGUAAUUUAAACAUAUUAAUUCAUACAAACAUAUAGAAGUUUGAUAUUUUACCCGGAAAUGUGUUCUUAAGGAACACUAAUCCUUAUAAACAUUCUAAUGAUAUUUUAACAUUUAAAAAAACACAUGAUCAUUUCCAAAUUGCAUCUGUUCACGGAAUCAGAAAAGAACAUACAUUGACCCUUUAACCGGCUACAGUGUGUUCACUGAGUUUGCACAUAGAAAAAGAGGAAGAUGCUGCGGGAGUGCCUGUAGACAUUGUCCGUACGGGCAAAUUAAUGUGGAGGAUCCUACUAAGAAGAAACUUCAACUCUUUGUUUUAUGUAUAGUAGUAAAUGUUAAGAUCGGCUGAACAACUCAUUUUGUGUGUUCCCAUAUUGAAUUUGGACUUCUUUUAAUGCACAUUCGUCUUACACUCUGUUUAAAAUGAUGAAAUACGCUACACCAGAUGUGCAACCCACACUCCAGGAAAUGGUUUGAAUCACAUCUAUCCACUGUGAUUUGACUUACAGGAGUUGGUGUGCUCCUCUGUCAGAUGAAUUCCACAAGCGGGAAUUUUCGCAGUGAUGAAUAUUCAUACGGUUACAGGCGAUCUUAAUUUUGACAGCUGUCAAUUCAGACUACGUGCUUCCUCCCUGGUAAAUGUACGACCAAGAAAACACCAUGGAAAAUGAAGUCUUCUCAUAAAAUGUGUGUUGACGUUAAAUACAUAGGCUUAGAAGGCUUCGUUUCAUGUUUAAAAAACCUGUAAAAACACAAAUUAUAUUUAAAGAGUUAACAGAAGUAUUUAUUAUUAUUUUAUGUAACUUAAACUAAUUAAAAUUACCUUUCUAGAAGUUCUCAAAUGUAUUUUGGCUUUGCUUCAACAGGUCUUGUACAAUUUACAUAUGCUAUAUACAGGGUUGUUGUCAAGGCCCUGUGUAAAAAUGUCCUUAACGGCAUACACUUUGAGCUACUUUGAGGGUGCAGGAGAUUAACAAUAAAAAAUGGUCCUUGGCCCUUUCAGCAACGACUGUAUGUGUUUGAGAUUCCGUGUGCAUGUUUAUGUAUUUACGCAUAAAGAAUUGUUUAAUUGCAUAUAAAGUUUAUUCAUUCAAAGUACAUCAUAUUCAAAGUACAUCACAUUCAGUUGUUAGUGUCUGCUACCUCCUGGCCAUUAUAUGCAUCUUCAUAUUUGCCUGUCUGAUUUAUAUCUCCCUGUGGCUAACUGAGAUUGAUACUCAGGUUUUCCAUCCACUGAAACUGAUUUCAGCGCAAAAAAUGAUAUGCAAAGCCAAGUAGGAUUUUGCCCCAGGCACUGGCCGUCCAACCUGUCACACAGCAUCGCAGGGCAGGAACAAGGAAACGGUCUCUGAAUGCGGGAAUGUGUGUGUAGCAGAGCCCUGUCCCAGCUUUGCCGACUGGCGCCGAGCACGAUAUCAGGCGACGGGAGGGUCCCAAGGCGGGCACACAUUUAUCAGGAGCAAGGCCCUGUGAACGUUGACAAGGAGAUUCAUGAUCUCAACAGUUCCAGGGAGGACAGGCAGGCAAGGGGCUUGUGGCAUCGUCAGUCCGGAUGAGAG